AUUGAACGCUGGCGGCAGGCCUAACACAUGCAAGUCGAACGAGUGGCGGACGGGUGAGUAAUGUCUGGAAAACUGCCUGAUGGAGGGGGAUAACUACUGGAAACGGUCGCUAAUACCGCAUACCAUCAGAUGUUCCCAGAUGGGAUUAGCUAGUGGGUGGGGUAACGGCUCACCAAGGCGAAGAUCCAUAGCUGGUCUGAGAGGAUGACCAGCCAAACUGGAACUGAUACACGGUCCAGACUCCUACGGGAGGCAGCAGUGGGGAAUAGUGCACAAUGGGCGCAAGCCUGAUGCAGCCAUGCCGCGUGUAUGAAGAAGGCCUUCGGGUUGUAAAGUACUUUCAGCGGGGAGGCGUUACCCGCAGAAGAAGCACCGGCUAACUCCGUGCCAGCAGCCGCGGUAAUUC
RNAcentral lists this ribosomal RNA (406 nucleotides) under uncultured bacterium. Its description in RNAcentral is "partial 16S ribosomal RNA". It matches the Rfam family "Bacterial small subunit ribosomal RNA", at positions 30 to 526 of the family's 1533-position model. The record is from RNAcentral.